UACGUAGGGUGCGAGCGUUGUCCGGAAUUACUGGGCGUAAAGAGCUCGUAGGUGGUUUGUCGCGUUGUUCGUGAAAACUCACAACUCAAUUGUGGGCGUGCGGGCGAUACGGGCAGACUGGAGUACUGCAGGGGAGACUGGAAUUCCUGGUGUAGCGGUGGAAUGCGCAGAUAUCAGGAGGAACACCGGUGGCGAAGGCGGGUCUCUGGGCAGUAACUGACGCUGAGGAGCGAAAGCGUGGGGAGCAAACGGG
This 253-nucleotide ribosomal RNA is filed under the name uncultured bacterium. RNAcentral's name for it is "partial 16S ribosomal RNA". It matches the Rfam family "Bacterial small subunit ribosomal RNA", at positions 524 to 776 of the family's 1533-position model. The record is from RNAcentral.